GUGACAUCACAUUCUGUUAUGAUCAGCGCAGUGCCUUAGUGACAUCACAUCCUGUUAUAAUGAUCAGCGCGGUGCCUUAGUGACAUCACAUCCUGUUAUAAUGAUCAGCGCGGUGCCUUAGUGACAUCACAUCCUGUUAUAAUAAUCACAUUCUGUUAUAAUGAUCAGUGGUGCCUUAGUGACAUCACAUUCUGUUAUAAUGAUCAGCGCGGUGCCUUAGUGACAUCACAUCCUGUUAUAAUGAUCAGCGCGGUGCCUUAGUGACAUCACAUCCUGUUAUAAUGAUCACAUUCUGUUAUAAUGAUCAGUGGUGCCUUAGUGACAUCACAUUCUGUUAUAAUGAUCAGCGCGGUGCCUUAGUGACAUCACAUCCUGUUAUAAUGAUCAGCGCGGUGCCUUAGUGACAUCACAUCCUGUUAUAAUGAUCAGCGAGGUGCCUUAGUGACAUCACAUCCUGUUAUAAUGAACAGCGCGGUGCCUUAGUGACAUCACAUCCUGUUAUAAUGAUCAGCGCGGUGCCUUAGUGACAUCACAUCCUGUUAUAUAAGUGACAUCACAUUCUGUUAUAAUGAUCAGUGGUGCCUUAGUGACAUCACAUCCUGUUAUAUAAGUGACAUCGCAUUCUGUUAUAAUGAUCAGCGCGGUGGCUUAGUGACUUCACAUUCUGUUAUAAUGAUCAGCGUGGUGCCUUAGUGACAUCACAUUCUGUUAUAAUGAUCAGCGCGGUGCCUUAGUGACAUCACAUUCUGUUAUAAUGAUCAGUGGUACCUUAGUGACAUCACAUUCUGUUAUAAUGAUCAGCGCGGUGCCUUAGUGACAUCACAUUCUGUUAUAAUGAUCAGUGGUGCCUUAGUGACAUCACAUCCUGUUAUAAUGAUCAGCGCGGUGCCUUAGUGACAUCACAUUCUGUUAUAAUGAUCAGUGGUGCCUUAGUGACAUCACAUUCUGUCAUAAUGAUCAGUGGUGCCUUAGUGACAUCACAUUCUGUUAUAAUGAUCAGCGCGGUGCCUUAGUGACAUCACAUCCUGUUAUAAUGAUCAGUGUGGUGCCUUAGUGACAUCACAUUCUGUUAUAAUGAUCAGUGGUGCCUUAGUGACAUCACAUUCUGUUAUAAUGAUCAGUGGUGCCUUAGUGACAUCACAUUCUGUUAUAAUGAUCAGUGGUGCCUUAGUGACAUCACAUUCUGUUAUAAUGAUCAGUGGUGCCUUAGUGACAUCACAUUCUGUUAUAAUGAUCAGUGGUGCCUUCGUGACAUCACAUUCUGUUAUGAUGAUCAAUAGUGGAAAACAGAAAUGUGGCCAGUUUUUGUCUUGUGGAGAAACCAGGAAAUGGAUGAUUUGACCAGGAAAUGAAUGAUUUGACCAGGAAAUGAAUGAUUUGACCAGGAAAUGAAUGCGUGAAUAAUUUGAUCCAUAUUGGAUCUGAGCGUGAAUGUGCUAUUCAAAAUGGUCAAUACCUGUGUUGUCAUUGAGGGGCAAUUUGUUUUAGCUAACGGCACUUUUAAUAAAUUACAAUGAACUGUU
Molecule: long non-coding RNA, 1523 nt
Organism: Oncorhynchus keta (chum salmon)
Lineage: Eukaryota; Metazoa; Chordata; Actinopteri; Salmoniformes; Salmonidae
Exons: 2
Source: RefSeq, a predicted model, not a curated record